This 497-nucleotide ribosomal RNA is filed under the name uncultured bacterium. RNAcentral's name for it is "partial 16S ribosomal RNA". It matches the Rfam family "Bacterial small subunit ribosomal RNA", at positions 28 to 507 of the family's 1533-position model. The record is from RNAcentral.
GAUGAACGCUGGCGGCGUGCCUAAUACAUGCAAGUCGAGCGAACAGACGAAGAGCUUGCUCCUCUGACGUUAGCGGCGGACGGGUGAGUAACACGUGGAUAACCUACCUAUUAGACUGGGAUAACUUCGGGAAACCGGAGCUAAUACCGGAUAAUAUAUUGAAUCACAUGGUUUAAUAGUGAAAGAUGGUUUUGCCUUCAAUUACAGAUGGAUCCGCGCCGCCUUAACUUGUUGGUAAGGUAACGGCUUACCCAGGCAACGAUGCGUAACCGAACUGAGAGGGAGAGCGGACACACUGGAACUGAGACACCGUACAGACCCCUACGGGAGACAAGUAUAGGGAAUCUUGCGAAAUGGGCGAGAGCCUGACGGAGCAACGCCGCGUGAGUUAUAAAGGUUCUGGGAGCGUAAAACUGUGUUAUGAGAGAAGAACAAAUGUGAAAGUAACGAUGCACGUCUUGACGGUACCUAAUCAGAAAGCCACGGCUAACUACGUG